Molecule: ribosomal RNA, 497 nt
Filed under: uncultured bacterium
Lineage: Bacteria
Description: partial 16S ribosomal RNA
Rfam family: Bacterial small subunit ribosomal RNA
Source: RNAcentral
GAUGAACGCUGGCGGCGUGCCUAAUACAUGCAAGUCGAGCGAACGGACGAGAAGCUUGCUUCUCUGAUGUUAGCGGCGGACGGGUGAGUAACACGUGGAUAACCUACCUAUAAGACUGGGAUAACUUCGGGAAACCGGAGCUAAUACCGGAUAAUAUUUUGAACCGCAUGGUUCAAAAGUGAAAGACGGUCUUGCUGUCACUUAUAGAUGGAUCCGCGCUGCAUUAGCUAGUUGGUAAGGUAACGGCUUACCAAGGCAACGAUGCAUAGCCGACCUGAGAGGGUGAUCGGCCACCCUGGAACUGAGACACGGUCCAGACUCCUACGGGAGGCAGCAGUAGGGAAUCUUCCGCAAUGGGCGGAAGCCUGACGGAGCAACGCCGCGUGAGUGAUGAAGGUCUUCGGAUCGUAAAACUCUGUUAUUAGGGAAGAACAUAUGUGUAAGUAACUGUGCACAUCUUGACGGUACCUAAUCAGAAAGCCACGGCUAACUACGUG